UCUGUCUGUCUGUCUGUCUGUCUGUCUGUCUGUCUCUGUCUGUCUGUCUGUCUGUCUGACUUUGGAGGUCUGUCUGGCUGACUUUGGAAGUCUGUCUGUCUGUCUGUCUGUCUGUCUGUCUGUCUGUCUGUCUGUCUGUCUGUCUGUCUGUCUGUCUGACUUUGGAGGUCUGUCUGGCUGACUUUGGAAGUCUGUCUGUCUGUCUGUCUGUCUGUCUGUCUGUCUGUCUGUCUGUCUGUCUGACUUUGGAGGUCUGUCUGGCUGACUUUGGAAGUCUGUCUGUCUGUCUGUCUGUCUGUCUGUCUGUCUGUCUGUCUGUCUGUCUGUCUGUC
This is a long non-coding RNA of Oncorhynchus tshawytscha (Chinook salmon), 332 nucleotides long. NCBI's taxonomy places the organism in Eukaryota, Metazoa, Chordata, Actinopteri, Salmoniformes, Salmonidae. The record is from Ensembl.